GCCCAUGUGGCUUAGUCAGUUGAGCAUCUGACUCUUGGUUUCAGCCUGGGUCAUGAUCUUAGACUGUGGGAUCAAGCCCUGCCUUGGGCU
Molecule: transfer RNA, 90 nt
Filed under: Canis lupus familiaris (dog)
Lineage: Eukaryota; Metazoa; Chordata; Mammalia; Carnivora; Canidae
Also listed under: 2 other names
Rfam family: tRNA
About the family: Transfer RNA (tRNA) molecules are approximately 80 nucleotides in length. Their secondary structure includes four short double-helical elements and three loops (D, anti-codon, and T loops).
Source: Rfam by way of RNAcentral